CGAAUCAUUUGCUCGUGAGA
This 20-nucleotide small nuclear RNA is filed under the name Arabidopsis thaliana (thale cress). RNAcentral describes it as "snRNA_03734". The record is from RNAcentral. Lineage: Eukaryota; Viridiplantae; Streptophyta; Magnoliopsida; Brassicales; Brassicaceae.